This 464-nucleotide ribosomal RNA is filed under the name Vreelandella stevensii. RNAcentral describes it as "partial 16S ribosomal RNA". It matches the Rfam family "Bacterial small subunit ribosomal RNA", at positions 339 to 795 of the family's 1533-position model. The record is from RNAcentral. Lineage: Bacteria; Pseudomonadati; Pseudomonadota; Gammaproteobacteria; Oceanospirillales; Halomonadaceae.
CCACGGGUGGCAGCAGUGGGGAAUAUUGGACAAUGGGGGCAACCCUGAUCCAGCCAUGCCGCGUGUGUGAAGAAGGCCCUCGGGUUGUAAAGCACUUUCAGUGAGGAAGAACGCCUGGUGGUUAAUACCCAUCAGGAAAGACAUCACUCACAGAAGAAGCACCGGCUAACUCCGUGCCAGCAGCCGCGGUAAUACGGAGGGUGCGAGCGUUAAUCGGAAUUACUGGGCGUAAAGCGCGCGUAGGUGGCUUGAUAAGCCGGUUGUGAAAGCCCCGGGCUCAACCUGGGAACGGCAUCCGGAACUGUCAAGCUAGAGUGCAGGAGAGGAAGGUAGAAUUCCCGGUGUAGCGGUGAAAUGCGUAGAGAUCGGGAGGAAUACCAGUGGCGAAGGCGGCCUUCUGGACUGACACUGACACUGAGGUGCGAAAGCGUGGGUAGCAAACAGGAUUAGAUACCCCAGUAGUC